RNAcentral lists this ribosomal RNA (423 nucleotides) under uncultured bacterium. Its description in RNAcentral is "bacterial SSU rRNA". It matches the Rfam family "Bacterial small subunit ribosomal RNA", at positions 355 to 775 of the family's 1533-position model. The record is from RNAcentral.
UGAGGAAUAUUGGUCAAUGGGCGCAAGCCUGAACCAGCCAUCCCGCGUGCAGGAAGACGGCCCUAUGGGUUGUAAACUGCUUUUCCAGGGGGAGAAUUUUUCUGUCGUGACAGGAAUUGACGGUACCCUGGGAAUAAGCAUCGGCUAACCCCGUGCCAGCAGCCGCGGUAAUACGGAGGAUGCGAGCGUUAUCCGGAUUUAUUGGGUUUAAAGGGUGCGUAGGCGGAUUGAUAAGUCAGUGGUGAAAACCUGCAGCUUAACUGUAGACUUGCCGUUGAUACUGUCAGUCUUGAGUGUGGUCAAGGUAGGCGGAAUGUGUAAUGUAGCGGUGAAAUGCUUAGAUAUUACACAGAACACCGAUUGCGAAGGCAGCUUGCUGGGCCAUCACUGACGCUCAUGCACGAAAGCGUGGGGAUCGAACAG